This 3420-nucleotide long non-coding RNA is filed under the name Balaenoptera musculus (blue whale). RNAcentral's name for it is "lncRNA (ENSBMSG00010010571.1)". The record is from RNAcentral. Lineage: Eukaryota; Metazoa; Chordata; Mammalia; Artiodactyla; Balaenopteridae.
GGUCAUCAUUGCUUCUUUACUUUGUAACGUGUGAAUUGUAACUAUGCAUUCUGCAAAGGGGGGGUGGGAGGAGAGGGCAGAAAGGGGAAGGAAGUAGCUUUGUAUCCUUGUUCUACAGUUUCUGUGUCCAUGGUAUCCCCUCAAGCUGGCAGGGAAGGGGAGUGAGAGUAAGAAGCGGUAAGGUUGGCACAGUGAGGUAGAAAGAGACCUGUGAGUCCGGCCUGGCACCUCCUGGGGGGCCUGCAGCCCCUACCAGCCAGUGUGGUACAGGAUCUCCAUCCUAGCCGUGCGGUGUCAGCCUGGUGCAACAGGAGGGCCCCGAAGGCCCCCUGUUUUCUGGAAAAAAGUGCUCACCCUGUCCUGAACUCAGAACCCUUUCAAGCUCAGGAAACCUUGCCUCACGCGUGCUGACCUUAAUCUUUAUGUCAUUUCAGAAAAAACUCCUCCUCCUCCUCGCUCCAUUUUAAUUUUUCUUUCUUCUUUCUUAGUCAUUUUUAAGUGAAUUUAAUUGUAAGGAAACUUUCUUGCUCUAUGGGGAAGAGGUCUGUUGCUUGACAGGCAAACAGGGCUGCUCUUCCCUGUCCACUAGCCCUCCGCCAUACGUGGCCUCUCUGCUUCCCUUGCAGGUGUUAAGCUGUGUGUAGCUAGUGAGCAGUGAGGUGUUUGACACGGGAAAGCCCACAGCCUCCUCUGUCCUGACAGCAUCCCUCUGUUGACCCUUCCUGCAGUCAGUCGUGGCCCUUGCAUUGCUCUGGUCUAGGCAUUAUUGGCAACACACAGUAUCGGAAGCAAGAGACUGCCGUGCCUGGAGCCAGUGUUUCCCUGCAGCAGUUUUGCUGUUGAUGUUCACAGUACUGUAACUAGUAACAGACUUGAUCACAGUCUCCUCGUGCCCCUGCCAGCCUGCACAGGCACGAUCUCAUCAGGGUUCCAAUCUGUUAGAUUGCCUUUAGACAAAAAAGAAAACAAAAAAAUAAAAUUCUGACGUUUCAGCUGUCUAACACAAAACAAUACCUCGAGGUACAUUUCCCCUGCAGUGUAGACCCUUAACUCCCCUCCUUUUCUGACAUUGGUGGGUUAUCCUUGGAAAAAUAUGAACGUGUAGAUAGCAGGAUAACUUUUACAAUUUUUUCUUUGCUGUGAAAGUAACCCUAAAAUAUGAUGUUUUCCACUUUUUUUUAAAGGCAUCAGAAGUUUCAGAUCUUAUUCUUUCAUGUUUAAGAAGAGAAAGCAGAACAGGUCAGGGGAGUGGACUUGCAUUUGUGGGGUGAUGUUCUCUCCAUUGCCUCCCAUACACAGUGACGACAGACCAGUGUUUAAACCCUGCUCUGAAUAGAUGCCAUCUAUUCUAGCUCUAGUUCCAGAGUAGGGAGUGUCUGGAUUUCUCUCUUCCAGAAGAUCCAUCCCCUCCAGGGACUCCAGAAUGUUUUCUCCUGAGACCUUGAGUUCUCAACCUUUCUUGGUUCAAACACACACACACACACGCACGCACACACACACACAUACUUUGAGUAACUGAGUAGCAUUCUGUAGAUCAUAAAGAGAAUCAGUCCCUAGCAUUUCAAUUUUGUGCUGUAGAAUUCAUAGCCGUGUCGCUUUGCGAUGCUCUGGAAAUGAAUUGAUUUCUUACUUAGAAGGAAUCAUCUGAGACGUGCAGGCAACCUCCCUGAAAGGCCCGCGCACCCUCAGGUGUCCCUCCCUCCACAAGGCUUGAAGCUGACUUUAGGUAGAGGUAAAUAAGUUUAACGAGUGCUGCUUGUAGGGAUCUGUCAGCUACUGCUCUCCUAGAUUUGGCCGCUCAUGAGGCAGGACCAGAAUAGAUCAUUUUGAAUAGCUUCUUCGCAAACCCCCUAGCUCCCCCCAUCUUAAAGAUAAACCCUGUAUCUGUCAGGAAGCCCUUUUUAGGUUGGGCUCGCUGAUCUUUGUCUACUGACGACUUCCUUUGAGGGAAGAAGCUUGAUGAUAAAUGCACGCAUAUCCACCACCCACCUUCUGAUCUGGGCGCUGUCGACCUGCGGAUUUUAUUUCUGUUGUUUGUGUGGAAGCCCCUUUUCUAUCAGUCUCCUUCCUCUGGUCCCUCCUGAGUUUUUCCUGCCCUUCUGUCCCUCUGCGAUGCUCCCAAAGGGCUCUGCUGAUCUCUGCACUUCUGUCCUGGGACACUCCCCCCCACCACCCUUUGCACACACCAGUGACCAAAGUGUGUCCAGUGAUCUCACAGAAGACAUAAAAAAUGGUGCAUGCACCGUGAAUGUGCUCACAGAGACACGUGCACAAGAUUCUGCACCCUUGGCCUUAACCUCAGUAUGACUUAAGGUGCAGGAACAUUUUUAACAGGUUUAAAAAAAACAAAAAAACCCUUCCUGGAGGAAAAAAAAAAGCAGACGCAACGGCUCAACCAUGCCCACUCCUAACUCUCCACUAUUUGCUUAUGACUUAACUCUGUGCCCACCCCACCCCUCCCUGUUUCGAGUAACCAAAAACAGAUAACAGAAGCAACCCGAGGAGAGGUUUCUGGACUAUUUUUUCUUUCUCCAUUUAGAUGGAGAUAUAUAUGCUGCUUUGGGUUCCAUAAUCCUAGGGGGCUAUGUUUACAUAGUAAAAUACAUCCUACCAAAUCAGGAAACUGAAUAUGGGAAUCUCUGCAAUGAGAGUUAGGUCACUGAUGGUGAACAAGAGAAGUGAGGGCCCUGGGGGAUGGCGCAGAGGAAAGACGGAGCAGUACCACCUGACGGCCUGGGACGCGUUGCUCCUCCCUUCGCUUCUCUCCUUGCCCCCUUUCACAGAAGGUGCAGAAAAGGGCAUCAGAAAGAGGCUGGAUCUUUCAAAGGCAGCUUUCCAACUUUGCACACAAACAGGUAACAGGAAGGUACAGCAAAAAUCCUCUCAUCUGAAACACUGUCUGCAGAAACAAAACCUGUAAACAUGACUAAAUAGCUGCACAAUUUUGAUGCUCUCUGCAAGUUACCUAGAAGUGUUUUGUUUUUCUUAUACUUGAAAUAGCUUUUACAAUGUUAUUUUGGUGGCUUUCUUUUCUCUCUACUGGUGGGCCAUAGAGAAAGUGGAUGACGGGAUUUAAGGAAGUUUGAGGGGAGAAAAGGGAGGAUAUGGCAUUGUCUUUUUUUUUUUUCUCUCUUAAACAUAGAGGUUUAAUCAAACUCCCAUAUGUUGAAAUUGCUCCUCAUAUGACUGGUUUUACAUGGACACAGAAACUAGGCACUUUAGAGGUGCACUUGCAUGGCAGGCUGGGCCCCCCUUUUCUAUAUUUUAUUUUACUUUUUUAGUAUAGUGGUACUUAAAAUCACUGGUUCACUUAAAAAACAAUAAAAUGUUAAACUCUACUAAUGUACAAAUAAGCUGAAAAGUUGCAUUUUAUGUGUAUUUUUUGCCAUAGCAGGUACUGUAUUUCUCAUGCUGGAUUUC